ACGAGGAUGUGUGGUCGCUCGCCAGGAGCUGAUGACAGUUCUUUGGCGGGAGGUAAAGUCCGGGCUCCUUCGGAAAUGAUGCCGGGUAAUAACCGGGCGGAAAAAGAAAGUUGUCUAAGUAAAGGUUACCUUUGAAUUGACAUAACUCUUUUGGCCGACAGAAAGUGCUGCAGAAAAUAACCGCCUGAUUUACAGGUAAGGGUGAAAAGGCAGGGUAAGAGCCUACCGCAUUUACGGCAACGCAAAUGGCAUAAGCAAACCUCAUCAGGAGCAAAAUCAUGCAGCGGUUUGGUAUUCCGACCUUAUACCGCGGGUAGAUUGCUGGAGGCAACGGGCGACUGUUGUCGUGGAUAGAUGACCAUGCGGGUUUAUCCCGUGCCAGAACCCGGCUUACUGCAUCCUUUUUAUA
RNAcentral lists this RNase P RNA (409 nucleotides) under Treponema sp. RNAcentral's name for it is "RNase P RNA component class A". It matches the Rfam family "Bacterial RNase P class A". Rfam says of the family: Ribonuclease P (RNase P) is a ubiquitous endoribonuclease, found in archaea, bacteria and eukarya as well as chloroplasts and mitochondria. Its best characterised activity is the generation of mature 5'-ends of tRNAs by cleaving the 5'-leader elements of precursor-tRNAs. Lineage: Bacteria; Pseudomonadati; Spirochaetota; Spirochaetia; Treponematales; Treponemataceae. The record is from RNAcentral.